Molecule: long non-coding RNA, 565 nt
Filed under: Salvator merianae (Argentine black and white tegu)
Lineage: Eukaryota; Metazoa; Chordata; Lepidosauria; Squamata; Teiidae
Description: lncRNA (ENSSMRG00000019455.1)
Source: RNAcentral
UAGCCACUGAGCAGGGUUAAAACUGGGAAGCAGGGUAAAACUGAAGUAGCCAUCUUAAAAUGCUUGGGGGGAAGUCUAUGCCUUACUAUGUUUCAAUCACAUUUCUAGAUCCCUGCCUACAGUCCAGGACCUCUGCUUUUGGUGCUUCCAGUCCAACAGGUGAAGCCACNACUGCCGUGACUCCAAGGAUCUGCUUUGAGUGAAGAUCCCUAGACCAACCUGAUGCCUUUGAGGAGAGGGCAGGAGGCUUGGGAGAAAGCAGUGAUCAGAGGGCCUGAUCCUGACAAUAUGAACCUCUCAAAUAUUCCAAAUACGUUGGCAAUCCUGGAUCAAGGGGACGCAAACGGGUUUGUUUAUCAGAUGUAAUCCACUUUCUGCUCCCUUCCGGCUAAUGUCUCCUCCCCCAAGCAUACUGAUGUUCUUAUUCCCCAGGGGAAUCUGAAGGGAGCAAGCUUAGUUUUUGCUUGUUUAAAGUAAAGUUCUGGGAGAAUUUCCAAGAGAGAGAGAGAGAGAAGAUUAUCUACCCUGAGGAGCCAGAACGGGAAAACGAAAAAAGAAAGGAAGG